RNAcentral lists this ribosomal RNA (378 nucleotides) under uncultured bacterium. Its description in RNAcentral is "bacterial SSU rRNA". It matches the Rfam family "Bacterial small subunit ribosomal RNA", at positions 29 to 406 of the family's 1533-position model. The record is from RNAcentral.
AUUGAACGCUGGCGGCGUGCCUAACACAUGCAAGUCGAGCGGUAACAGGUGUAGCAAUACAUGCUGACGAGCGGCGGACGGGUGAGUAACGCUUGGGAAUCUGCCUAUUAGUGGGGGACAACCCGGGGAAACUCGGGCUAAUACCGCAUACGCUCUACGGAGGAAAGCCGGGGACCGCAAGGCCUGGCGCUAAUAGAUGAGCCCAAGUCGGAUUAGCUAGUUGGUAGGGUAANGGCCUACCAAGGCGACGAUCCGUAACUGGUCUGAGAGGACGACCAGUCACACCGGAACUGAGACACGGUCCGGACUCCUACGGGAGGCAGCAGUGGGGAAUAUUGGACAAUGGGCGAAAGCCUGAUCCAGCGACGCCGCGUGGGU